This 220-nucleotide ribosomal RNA is filed under the name uncultured fungus. RNAcentral's name for it is "partial 18S ribosomal RNA". It matches the Rfam family "Eukaryotic small subunit ribosomal RNA", at positions 324 to 544 of the family's 1831-position model. Lineage: Eukaryota; Fungi. The record is from RNAcentral.
GAUGGUAGGAUAGUGGCCUCCCAUGGUGGCAACGGGUAACGGGGAAUUAGGGUUCGAUUCCGGAGAGGGAGCCUGAGAAACGGCUCCCACAUCCAAGGAAGGCAGCAGGCGCGCAAAUUACCCAAUCCCGAUACGGGGAGGUAGUGACAAUAAAUACUAAUACGGGGCUUUUUUGGGUCUCGUAAUUGGAAUGAGAACAAUCUAAAUCCCUAACGAGAUA